AAGUUCCGACCCGCACGAAAGGUAGAAUGACAUAGUGACUGUCUUAAACUGCUACCCGGCGAAAUUGAAAUGGCUGUGAAGAUGCGGCCUACUCACACAUGGACAAAAAGACCCCGUGAAGCUUUACUGCAACUUGGCACUGAGGACUUUAUUUUAACUGUCGAGCAUAGGUGGGAGCAACAGUGAAAUACCACUCUUUACCAUGAAGGAAUCUUACUUACCCCGACAUAAAAAUCUCGGGGGAGGACACUGUCUGGUGGGCAGUUUAACUGGGGAGGUUGCCUCCUAAAUUGCAACGGAGGCGUACAAAGGUCAGCUAACUCUGAAUGGAAACCAGAGCCUGUCGUGCAAACGCGAGAAGCUGGCUUGACUGCGAGACGUACAGGUCGAGCAGAUACGAAAGUAGGUGUUAGUGAUCCUCGGUUCCCUCGUGGGAGGGACCGGGCUUAACGGAUAAAAGCUACUCCGGGGAUAACAGGCUGAUCGCUUCCGAGAGUCCAUAUCGACGAGGCGGUUUGGCACCUCGAUGUCGGCUCCCCGCAAAGUGAUACGGUUGCAUCCUAUCCUGGGGGUGGAGAAGCUCCCAAGGGUCCGGCUGUUCGCCGGUUAAAAGGGUACGCGAGCUGGGUUCAGAACGUCGUGAGACAGUAGACCUUCGGUCUCUAUCCUGUGUGAGCGUUUUGAUUCUUGAGGGGAGCUCUCUCCAGUACGAGAGGACCGAGAGGGACAGAUCCCUGGUGUGCCUGUUGUCAGCCUGAGCGCUGGCAUCGCAGGGUAGCUAGAUCUGGAAGGGAUAAGUGCUGAAAGCAUCUCAAGUACCAAGCCCACCCCAAGAUGAAGAAUCAGUGUGAGGUCCGUUGUAGAUUACAACGUUGAUAGGCGAGGAGUGUACGCACCGCAAGGUGUUUAGCUUACUCGUACUAAUAGACC
RNAcentral lists this ribosomal RNA (930 nucleotides) under Candidatus Gottesmanbacteria bacterium GW2011_GWA1_44_24b. RNAcentral's name for it is "bacterial LSU rRNA". It matches the Rfam family "Bacterial large subunit ribosomal RNA", at positions 1978 to 2910 of the family's 2925-position model. Lineage: Bacteria; Candidatus Gottesmaniibacteriota. The record is from RNAcentral.